AAGAUUUGAGGAUGAAGAAAAUAAUAUCAAGGGAUGAAGGUUUAAUGUAGAUGAAAGUAAAAAUGGAUAAAAAAAGACACCAAAGAAAGAACAAAACGUUUUCAGGAAUUUGCGAUGGGGUAUCCCACGCAUUUUAAAUGGUCAUAUGCAUGUUGUUAAAUAAUUCAAAUUGUGCGGCAUAAGUAUGAUUUAGAGUUUCUUAUUCAGUAUACGAAUUAAUUGUAUAUAAAUAUAACUAUUUUGUAAUUCAAUUUGUAAAGUCAUAAUUAA
Molecule: long non-coding RNA, 270 nt
Filed under: Lathyrus oleraceus (garden pea)
Lineage: Eukaryota; Viridiplantae; Streptophyta; Magnoliopsida; Fabales; Fabaceae
Description: Pisum sativum (pea) long non-coding RNA (PSAT_LNC024248)
Source: RNAcentral